Molecule: unclassified non-coding RNA, 2215 nt
Filed under: Leishmania donovani
Lineage: Eukaryota; Euglenozoa; Kinetoplastea; Trypanosomatida; Trypanosomatidae
Description: gene:LdHU3.36.9480(CDS-product:ATPase_putative)
Source: RNAcentral
CCGCCGCAACCUCCCCCCUCGUCAACAUCACCUUCACCCUCGUCCAUCGUUCACUAGCGUUGGGAGGUGUCUCGUUUCCGCACCCUCAUGAGGCGCUACUGAGUUUCAUGCGUGUGCGCGGACGUACAGUACGCGAAGCGGUACACCUGUGCAGCCCAUCUCCCCUUUUCGUCGACCGUGGCACGAAAGGGGCAUGGGAAAAAAGCAAGAAGGUGGGAAGCGAAGUACUCGCUACCACCGCUGCUUCUCUCUGAGCCUCUGACGCGCUUUCGUAUCGAGCUCCUUUCCUCUGCCACUGCUGCGCGCACUGCCGGUGUUGGCAGACACGUCUUUCUUUCGAACUGCGACUUCAAUUUUUUGUUUUCCUGUGUCGUUCACGUUUUGUCGUUGUGUGCGUGUGGUUGGCGCAUCUUCAUUGCCAGAGCACGCGCCUUUGUGGGAGGCGGACAGCUGCGCGCUGCACACACAACUUUGCCUUCUUUUUUUCCCUUUCGGCACCGCCCCCGCUUUAUUGACGGUACAUGUUGCGCCGCUGCGGGUGCCGAAGGAACGUGUGGUCGAGCCACAUCUCCACGAAACGCACCGUGGUUGAGGCGUACGAACAGCUUGCGCGUAAAGGCGUCAUAACGGCCGACGCUCGCCAACGCUAUAUGUCAGAAGCAUGCACAUCCCUUCUCCAGUUCAUUCACCAGUGCUACGCAGACGAGGCUGCCGGCAAGGUAUCGCCGUACACCCGGCCUUGCAUGUCAGCGAGCGAUGAAAGGGGCCACUGGGUGCAAGCGUCGCGCUCACUUCGGAGGUCUAUUUGGGCAUCCCUCGCGAAGCAGGCGAGGCGGGCAUUCCCCGACUCUGUCACUCGCACGCUGGGCCUCUUGGAGGCGGAGAAUAUUGGCGUUGUGGAAAAACGUGGGCUGUACCUGUGGGGUGAUGUGGGAAUCGGGAAGACGAUGAUACUGGACCUCUUUGACCUCUGCGCUACCCCGUAUGCGAAGCGCCGUUCCCACCUGCACUCUUUCAUGAGUGAACUGGAGGACCGCCUCUUUCGCGCGGAGAUGGCGCUGACGCGGCGGCGCCGGUCAGCCGUGUCGCCGAAAGAGAAGAGGGCGCUGGAUGCCGUCCGUCCCAUCAACGUGGUUGUGCAGGAGGUGCUGCACGAGACGCCUAUCCUGUGCUUCGACGAAUUUCAGACCUUCGAUGUGGCUCACGCCGCGUUGCUCGCCGCCUUCUUCAGCGAGGCGCUCCGUGAAGGACUCUUCCUAAUCACGACGAGCAACCGCCCCCCGGAGGAUCUAUGUCGUGUUUCCGCUUCCUUUAACGCUUUCCUUCCUGUGCUGCGGCAGCACUGCAAUGUUGUGCACUGCGCCGAUAUCCGUGACUAUCGCGUGAGGGAGGCUGCGGAGCGGCACCACCAGCUUAUCUUUUUGCACCCGAACACGAAGGCAAACGUGGAGCGGCUGAUGCGGCGUGUCGAGCAUGCUUUCGGGGCUGGUGGCGGAGAGCUUGCGUGGAUCAAGGAGGACACACUGUGGCACCACGGCCGCAGCGUCGUGAUCCCGCUGCGAUGCGCUGGAUGUGCCGUGUUCGACUUUACCGACAUCUGCGGCGCGCGAGAAGGGCUAUCCUCCGCUGACAUCCAACUCAUCGCCCUGCAGUUCCACACCGUCAUUGUCACAAACGUGCCGCAGAUGGGCAACGUGAGCUCUAACGCGGCGCACCAGUUCGUCGUGCUGGUGGAUGAGAUGUACCAGAACAACGUGAAGCUGCUCUUCACUUCCUCUGUACCGUGGACGCAUCUCAUGGACUCCACCUACUCCACGAGCGACGUGCGGGCCCUGGCGGACGUCGACUCCGGUCGCGGCGGUGAUGCGACCUGUUCCGCAGGCGGCAGCUUUGGAACCGAGGUUUACAGCGAGGGCGAGGAUGAUCGGAGCGGGCACGCAGCCUCCUACAACUUUAGGAAUGAGGAGGAGCUCAUGAGCUUUGCGCGCAUCCGCAGCCGCCUAAACGAGAUGGGCUCGGCCUCGUACCUGCUGCGCGAUCACCGUCACUUCGUCGUCACCGACUUCGAUUUUGCUGCUUUGCUCCGUCCAGACAUACAACGAAAGGUGUGCGAAUGAACUCCCAACCGUUUCCGUCUUACCUAUGCGCCGUUUUCACCGAGUCUCCGUUUCUCCUCCCGUGUGUGUGUGUGUCUUAGCGCAGCUCAAAGCGAAUG